This 520-nucleotide long non-coding RNA is filed under the name Elaeis guineensis (African oil palm). RNAcentral's name for it is "long non-coding RNA (EGUI_LNC019075)". Lineage: Eukaryota; Viridiplantae; Streptophyta; Magnoliopsida; Arecales; Arecaceae. The record is from RNAcentral.
UGUGACCGUAAAUUCAUAGGUAUUUUGUAGGGAAAUGUGUCUUUUGAGAGUUUAUUGUUUGUAGCUCAUAAUUGAAAUACCAAACUGAAGAUUAUUAAUUUUAAAACUAUAUCUUUUGUCACUUCUCUUCUUGCUUCUUAAGGGAGUGGAGCUUUCAUCCAGGUUCAUGCUCAAUGCUGGUCAGAUUUGCCAGGCUUGGCUGUGAAUUGUUGGCUAAAUAGCAAUUCAACUUUACCUCUAUUGUCAGAAAUUUUCCAUGGCAUGUCCUGCUUGUCUCUCAGUUGAAGAAUAGGCUUACUUAUGGCCUUUUCAUUUUCCAUAAGCCUGCUUAUUGGUGCAACAAUUUACAAAAACGUAGUGCUGUACCCUGUAUGCUGUGGUCCUGCGUUAGUUGGGAAUUGGCGUGAACCUAUUGAUUGGUCAGGCCUGGUGACAUUUCCACAAAUUUUUCACAUAAAAAGCAAGAUAGUUAAUGUGCAUGAAUUCAUAGUUUGCCGAGUUUUGUGGUGUUUACUCCCCC